UACGUAGGUGGCAAGCGUUGUUCGGAAUUACUGGGCGUAAAGCGUGCGCAGGCGGUUCGUUAAGUCAGAUGUGAAAGCCCCGGGCUCAACCUGGGAACUGCAUUUGAAACUGGCGGGCUUGAGUGUGGCAGAGGGGGGUGGAAUUCCGCGUGUAGCAGUGAAAUGCGUAGAGAUGCGGAGGAACACCGAUGGCGAAGGCAGCCCCCUGGGCCAACACUGACGCUCAGGCACGAAAGCGUGGAGAGCAAACAGG
This 253-nucleotide ribosomal RNA is filed under the name uncultured bacterium. RNAcentral's name for it is "partial 16S ribosomal RNA". It matches the Rfam family "Bacterial small subunit ribosomal RNA", at positions 524 to 776 of the family's 1533-position model. The record is from RNAcentral.